This is a long non-coding RNA of Prunus persica (peach), 388 nucleotides long. RefSeq lists it as uncharacterized. The transcript is spliced from 2 exons. The record is from RefSeq and is a predicted model, not a curated record. Lineage: Eukaryota; Viridiplantae; Streptophyta; Magnoliopsida; Rosales; Rosaceae.
UUCCAUAUUUUGUAUGUCUGAGGAAGGUAGAUUAGUAUUUUAUUUUACCUUCUGAAUAUAUAAGCUUUUCUUCCCAUUGCUGGAAAUGCACUAUAGUACAGAAACAGCUGGUACAAUUGUGGGGUUCAACUCUGGAAAUCUUAAUUCAGAACAUAUGCAUAGUUUUUUUUUUUUUAAUAACUCUUUUGUUGAGUAAAAUUGAAGAAAGUGUUAUUCAAGGUGUGGUUGGGUGGAAGGUGCAGUGCAGUGCUAAACUUUUUCUACUUAUGGCCAAAGCAGAUUUUUUUGUCCGGCCCAACCAUGGGGUUGCGAGAAGUGCAUCUCAUGUAGUGUUCAUGAAGCACUGAAAAAUGGGGAAAUGCUGUUGAGACAGCCAUGAUCUUUUGUA